This 476-nucleotide ribosomal RNA is filed under the name uncultured bacterium. RNAcentral's name for it is "bacterial SSU rRNA". It matches the Rfam family "Bacterial small subunit ribosomal RNA", at positions 28 to 507 of the family's 1533-position model. The record is from RNAcentral.
GACGAACGCUGGCGGCGUGCCUAACACAUGCAAGUCGAACGGGGGGAACAUGAAGUAUUUCGGUACGGAAUGCGCCCCUAGUGGCGAACGGGUGAGUAACACGUGGGCAACCUGCCCCAGACUGGGGGAUAACAUUGUGAAAACAGUGCUAAUACCGCAUGACAGGGUUCCGGGCAUCCGGGACCCUUGAAAGGAGAAAUCCGGUCAGGGAUGGGCCCGCGUCCAAUUAGCUAGUUGGCGGGGUAACGGCCCACCAAGGCGACGAUUGGUAGCCGAACUGAGAGGUUGAUCGGCCACAUUGGGACUGAGACACGGCCCAGACUCCUACGGGAGGCAGCAGUGGGGAAUAUUGGGCAAUGGGCGAAAGCCUGACCCAGCGACGCCGCGUGAAGGAUGAAGGUCUUCGGAUUGUAAACUUCUUUGAUCAGGGAAGAAGAAAUGACGGUACCUGAAAACAAGCCACGGCUAACUACGUG